GACGAACGCUGGCGGCGUGCUUAACACAUGCAAGUCGAACGGGCCUUGUCCCCUUUUUUUUGGGGGUGGGGUUAGUGGCGCACGGGUGAGUAACACGUGAGUAACCUGCCCCUCACUUCUGGAUAACCGCUUGAAAGGGUGGCUAAUACGGGGUGUUCUGGCCUGCUCGCAUGGGUGGGUUUGGAAAGAUUCGACCGGUUUUGGUUGUUUUGGUGGGGGAUGGGCUCGCGGCCUAUCAGCUUGUUGGUGGGGUGAUGGCCUGCCAAGGCUUUGACGGGUAGCCGGCCUGAGAGGGUGGGCGGUCACACUGGGACUGAGACACGGCCCAGACUCCUACGGGAGGCAGCAGUGGGGAAUAUUGCACAAUGGGCGCAAGCCUGAUGCAGCGACGCCGCGUGAGGGAUGGAGGCCUUCGGGUUGUGAACCUCUUUCGCCAGUGAAGAAGGUCCUGCUCUUUGUGGUGGGGUUGACGGUAGCUGGGUUAAUGAAGCGCCGGCUAACUACGUG
RNAcentral lists this ribosomal RNA (507 nucleotides) under uncultured bacterium. Its description in RNAcentral is "partial 16S ribosomal RNA". It matches the Rfam family "Bacterial small subunit ribosomal RNA", at positions 28 to 507 of the family's 1533-position model. The record is from RNAcentral.